UACGUAGGGCGCAAGCGUUGUCCGGAAUUAUUGGGCGUAAAGAGCUCGUAGGCGGCCUGUUGCGUCCGCUGUGAAAUCCCGGGGCUCAACCUCGAGACGUCGGUUGAAACCAUCUGGCUAGAGUCCGGAAGAGGAGAGUGGAAUUCCUGGUGUAGCGGUGAAAUGCGCAGAUAUCAGGAAGAACACCCGUGGCGAAGGCGGCUCUCUGGGACGGUACUGACGCUGAGACGCGAAAGCGUGGGGAGCGAACAGG
This 253-nucleotide ribosomal RNA is filed under the name uncultured bacterium. RNAcentral's name for it is "partial 16S ribosomal RNA". It matches the Rfam family "Bacterial small subunit ribosomal RNA", at positions 524 to 776 of the family's 1533-position model. The record is from RNAcentral.